RNAcentral lists this ribosomal RNA (497 nucleotides) under uncultured bacterium. RNAcentral describes it as "partial 16S ribosomal RNA". It matches the Rfam family "Bacterial small subunit ribosomal RNA", at positions 28 to 507 of the family's 1533-position model. The record is from RNAcentral.
GAUGAACGCUGGCGGCGUGCCUAAUACAUGCAAGUCGAGCGAACAGACGAGGAGCUUGCUCCUCUGACGUUAGCGGCGGACGGGUGAGUAACACGUGGAUAACCUACCUAUAAGACUGGGAUAACUUCGGGAAACCGGAGCUAAUACCGGAUAAUAUAUUGAACCGCAUGGUUCAAUAGUGAAAGACGGUUUUGCUGUCACUUAUAGAUGGAUCCGCGCCGCAUUAGCUAGUUGGUAAGGUAACGGCUUACCAAGGCAACGAUGCGUAGCCGACCUGAGAGGAUGAUCGGCCACACUGGAACUGAGACACGGUCCAGACUCCUACGGGAGGCAGCAGUAGGGAAUCUUCCGCAAUGGGCGAAAGCCUGACGGAACAACGCCGCGUGAGUGAUGAAGGUCUUCGGAUCGUAAAACUCUGUUAUUAGGGAAGAACAAAUGUGUAAGUAACUAUGCACGUCUUGACGGUACCUAAUCAGAAAGCCACGGCUAACUACGUG